AUUGAACGCUGGCGGCAGGCCUAACACAUGCAAGUCGAACGGUAACAGGAAGAAUCUUGCUUCUUUGCUGACGAGUGGCGGACGGGUGAGUAAUGUCUGGGAAACUGCCUGAUGUAGGGGGAUAACUACUGGAAACGGUAGCUAAUACCGCAUAACGUCUCAUGACCAAAGAGGGGGACCUUCGGGCCUCUUGCCAUCGGAUGUGCCCAGAUGGGAUUAGCUAGUAGGUGGGGUAACGGCUCACCUAGGCGACGAUCCCUAGCUGGUCUGAGAGGAUGACCAGCCACACGGGAACUGAGACACGGUCCAGACUCCUACGGGAGGCAGCAGUGGGGAAUAUUGCACAAUGGGCGCAAGCCUGAUGCAGCCAUGCCGCGUGUAUGAAGAAGGCCUUCGGGUUGUAAAGUACUUUCAGCGGGGAGGAAGGGAGUAAAGUUAAUACCUUUGCUCAUUGACGUUACCCGCAGAAGAAGCACCGGCUAACUACGUG
This 490-nucleotide ribosomal RNA is filed under the name uncultured bacterium. RNAcentral's name for it is "partial 16S ribosomal RNA". It matches the Rfam family "Bacterial small subunit ribosomal RNA", at positions 30 to 507 of the family's 1533-position model. The record is from RNAcentral.